CCUACGGGUGGCAGCAGUGAGGAAUAUUGGUCAAUGGACGAGAGUCUGAACCAGCCAAGUAGCGUGAAGGAUGACUGCCCUAUGGGUUGUAAACUUCUUUUAUAUGGGUAUAAAAUGUUCCACGUGUGGGAUUUUGUAUGUACCAUAUGAAUAAGGAUCGGCUAACUCCGUGCCAGCAGCCGCGGUAAUACGGAGGAUCCGAGCGUUAGCCGGAUUUAUUGGGUUUAAAGGGAGCGUAGGUGGAUUGUUAAGUCAGUUGUGAAAGUUUGCGGCUCAACCGUAAAAUUGCAGUUGAAACUGGCAGUCUUGAGUACAGUAGAGGUGGGCGGAAUUCGUGGUGUAGCGGUGAAAUGCUUAGAUAUCACGAAGAACUCCGAUUGCGAAGGCAGUUCACUGGACUGCAACUGACACUGAGGCUCGAAAGUGUGGGUAUCAAACAGGAUUAGAUACCCGGGUAGUC
This 460-nucleotide ribosomal RNA is filed under the name uncultured bacterium. Its description in RNAcentral is "partial 16S ribosomal RNA". It matches the Rfam family "Bacterial small subunit ribosomal RNA", at positions 338 to 795 of the family's 1533-position model. The record is from RNAcentral.